UCUUUCAGUUGCACACAAGGAUCUGUGGGCCUGAGGCCACCCCUGAAUGACUCUAGAAUAUUGAUAGGCUCUAUGCAGCAAUGAUCUAAGGCACAUUUUGAAUGUUGCCAAAAUAACUUACAUUUAUCACAUUAUUUUAUGGAAACAAAGAUUCUAUAUAUCUUCUUCUUUUUUGAAUUAUACUUGUAUUUUAAGUGUUGUACUUUAUAAGCUGUGGAUACCAAUCAUUCAAACAACGUAAUACAAGUAAUCCAGUUGACCAUAUGCCAUUUAAAACAAACGAAAAAUUCCAUUUUCUACUCUUGCUCUUUCUCCAUAUUUCCCAUUUGAUGCUAGUUGGAGUGUGUCAUUACCUGCCUCAGAGGGGCGUGAAUGUCCUUUAAAAGAGGUAGAAAAUGAUACUUGGGGGCUAAUGAGGCCUAAUAGUAGGGGAUCAGGGUUUAGUUCUUGACCUCUAAGUAGUCAUCUUAAGAAGCCUUACAUUGGAAUGUUUCUCAUUUGAAAAUUUCUGUUUUGAGUGUUUUUAAAACCACUGCAUGGAGGUUUAACUGACAUACAAAAAUAAACAUAUAUACUUAAUGUAUGUAACAUAACAAGUUGGAUAUAAGUACACAUCCAUGAAACCAUCACCACAAUCCAUGUCCUAAAGUUUACUUCCUCUUAAAAGUUUCCUUUGGAUUUACAGUGUGAUUUUUACUCUGUAAUCACCCUUGGAGCCUGGUGCCCAUUUUCUAUUGUUUACUGCAUGAGCAUGGAAAAAUUCCUUAACCCUUCUGAAUGUCUAUUCUUUCAACUGAAAAAGCAGUAAUUCCAGUUAUCUCAAACCUUUCAAAUCAAAUGAAUUAACAUGAGGCCCAAAGUAAGUGUCAGUUUCAAGAAUACAAUGCAGUCACCAUGCAAUUCUGAUCAGCUAUCCCUUUAGUUAAUCUCUGCCAGUAUUUUCCACUUUGUUGUAAAUGAAUUAAUGUAGAUAUAUAAGUGUUUAUCUUAAACAUGUCAAGUUAAUUCCCAAGCUAUGCUUAAAGGACAUACCCAUAAAACAAAAAAAAGGAAUAUAAA
Long non-coding RNA from Phyllostomus discolor (pale spear-nosed bat), 1059 nucleotides. RefSeq lists it as uncharacterized. The record is from RefSeq and is a predicted model, not a curated record. The transcript has 2 exons. Lineage: Eukaryota; Metazoa; Chordata; Mammalia; Chiroptera; Phyllostomidae.